GCAUAUCAAUAAGCGGAGGAAAAGAAACCAACAGGGAUUACCUCAGUAACGGCGAGUGAAGCGGUAACAGCUCAAAUUUGAAAUCUGGCUCUUUUAGGGUCCGAGUUGUAAUUUGUAGAAGAUGCUUUGGGCGUGGCUCCGGUCUAAGUUCCUUGGAACAGGACGUCAUAGAGGGUGAGAAUCCCGUAUGUGACUGGUAGCUUUCGCCCGUGUAAAGCUCUUUCGACGAGUCGAGUUGUUUGGGAAUGCAGCUCAAAAUGGGUGGUAAAUUUCAUCUAAAGCUAAAUAUUGGCCAGAGACCGAUAGCGCACAAGUAGAGUGAUCGAAAGAUGAAAAGCACUUUGGAAAGAGAGUUAAACAGUACGUGAAAUUGUUGAAAGGGAAGCGCUUGCAACCAGACUCGCAGGCCGUCGAUCAUCCAGGGUUCUCCCCGGUGCACUCGGCGGUUUUCGGGCCAGCAUCGGUUUGGGUGGUGGGAUAAAGGCCUUGGGAAUGUAGCUUCUUUCGGGGAGUGUUAUAGCCCUCGGUGCAAUGCCGCCUACCCGGACCGAGGACCGCGCUUCGGCUAGGAUGCUGGCGUAAUGGUUGUAAGCGACCCGUCUUGAAACACGGACCAAGGAGUCUAACAUCUAUGCGAGUAUUUGGGUGUUAAACCCAUAUGCGUAAUGAAAGUGAACGGAGGUGAGAACCCUUAAGGGUGCAUCAUCGACCGAUCCUGAUGUCUUCGGAUGGAUUUGAGUAAGAGCAUAGCUGUUGGGACCCGAAAGAUGGUGAACUAUGCCUAAAUAGGGUGAAGCCAGAGGAAACUCUGGUGGAGGCUCGCAGCGGUUCUGACGUGCAAAUCGAUCGUCAAAUUUGGGUAUAGGGGCGAAAGACUAAUCGAACCAUCUAGUAGCUGGUUCCUGCCGAAGUU
Molecule: ribosomal RNA, 913 nt
Filed under: Lachnellula willkommii
Lineage: Eukaryota; Fungi; Ascomycota; Leotiomycetes; Helotiales; Lachnaceae
Description: partial large subunit ribosomal RNA
Rfam family: Eukaryotic large subunit ribosomal RNA
Source: RNAcentral